This 635-nucleotide ribosomal RNA is filed under the name uncultured fungus. RNAcentral describes it as "eukaryotic LSU rRNA". The stretch from base 265 to 419 matches the Rfam family "5.8S ribosomal RNA". The record is from RNAcentral. Lineage: Eukaryota; Fungi.
AAGUCGUAACAAGGUUUCCGUAGGUGAACCUGCGGAAGGAUCAUUACCGAGUUAGGGUCUCGACCCCGAGGCCCGACCUCCCAACCCUGUGUCUAAAUAAAUUAUACGUGUUGCUUCGGCGGACCGGUAGUCUUUAAUAGGACAGCCGCCGGGGAGGACGUCCCGUCCCCCUGGAGAGUGUCCGCCGACGGCCUCAACCUUUCCAACUCUAACUACCAACAUGGAAUUUCUGAAUGAUAAAUCUUAGAUAUAAUCAAAAAUUAAAACUUUCAACAACGGAUCUCUUGGUUCUGGCAUCGAUGAAGAACGCAGCGAAAUGCGAUAAGUAAUGCGAAUUGCAGAAUUUCCGUGAGUCAUCGAAUCUUUGAACGCACAUUGCGCCCUCUGGCAUUCCGGAGGGCAUGCCUGUUCGAGCGUCAUUAUCCUCCCUCAAACCUCCGGGUUUGGUGUUGGACCGUGUUGGUGUUACAUCCAUUGAACCAACUGGUCUCAAAGACAAUGACGGCGUCCGUGGGACCCUCUUCGCACCGAGCUUCUAAGGAGCACGCGUCGAGUUGCAAGGUCCCGGGGACCCGGUCACUCCUGUUAUUUUCUAGGUUGACCUCGGAUCAGGUAGGAAUACCCGCUGAACUUAA